GAACAGGUUGCCCAAGGAGGUUGUGGAUGCCCCAUCCCUGGAGGCAUUCAAGGCCAGGCUGGAUGUGGCUCUGGGCAGCCUGGUCUGGUGGUUGGUUACCCUGCACAUAGCAGGGGGGUUGAAACUACAUGAUCAUUAUUGUUCUUUUCAACCCAGGCCAUUCUAUGAUUUUAUGAUUUUAUUUCCAAAUCAAUAAUAAUCUAUUGUCGUAUGCUUCCCUAUCUUCACCCACUCUUUUCUCACAGUUUUACUGUCAUUCAGAUUAGGUUUAGUCCUACAUGUCAGGGAUGGAAAAUGUGUCCCGGUUGUGCCGAAGGAACAAGGAAAGAUGUACAAUUUAUUUAACAAAGUUAUGCUGCGGCACACGAGUUCUUUCAGACACAGGGGCGUCUUGGCCAGCUGCAGCUUCUGUUUACUGUUCAACAAACCCUUGGAGUACUGGAGUAGUUGCUAAGCUAUCAGCAAGAGCUGGGAAAGCUGGACAUUACUGUAACUCACAAUUUGAUGUGUGCUCCCUGUGGACGGCUGCUCACUAAAGAAAUUUUGGCCUUUGGCCAGUGUGGUCUGAAGAACUGAAGAGAGUAAAAGAGAAGAAAGGGAAGGCAGGAAGUUAGUAAAUGACUAUUUUUGGAGACUGAGGUGCAAGUAAAAUCACACCUUCUGUGCCUGUCACCUAGGUAACCUUUUGCAAAGCAUUUCACUUUUCUAAAACUAGAUGUGUGAAUUAUUAUACAGGAUCACAGCUAUCUGUGAGGGGCAUCUUCUUCCCACCUGUUCCUUUUCCUUUUUCAAGGAUGAGUACUCUGC
This 807-nucleotide long non-coding RNA is filed under the name Phasianus colchicus (ring-necked pheasant). RNAcentral describes it as "lncRNA (ENSPCLG00000021865.1)". The record is from RNAcentral. Lineage: Eukaryota; Metazoa; Chordata; Aves; Galliformes; Phasianidae.